This is a long non-coding RNA of Vicia villosa (hairy vetch), 425 nucleotides long. RefSeq lists it as uncharacterized. The transcript has 3 exons. Lineage: Eukaryota; Viridiplantae; Streptophyta; Magnoliopsida; Fabales; Fabaceae. The record is from RefSeq and is a predicted model, not a curated record.
UAUAUAAGGCUGCUACUCCUUUGGUUCUACUCCACUGGCUGGUUGAGCUUGCUACUAUCGAAUCGUUGACAAUUACUUCAACUACGCUUUAGGCUCUUUCCCCUGUUCCGAUUUAUUGAAGUCUGAGUGGUCCUUGUGUGACUUGAAGUCACUGAAAGUAAGAAAGAACUCACCCGUUCCCGCUGGAUUAGUGGAGUUUUUGCUUCAAAACCCACCCUCAACAGAGGUUAACAUUGUUGAUUAAUUAAGGUCAGGGUGUUGAGAAUGUUUACACCCAGCAUCAGCCACUUCUGUUCCAAAUAAUGGAAAGCAUUGUCAAAGGGCGAUUGAGAGAUGUAGACUACCCAUUUUUUGAGAAUCACUUCCAACAAGGAAGGUUUGUUGCUAUUGAAUAUAAACUUUUCUUUGUAAUUUUAUUUGUAGAC